GGGGGGAGGCCGCGGCCGUUCGCCCCCCCGGUUUCUCGCUUCGGUUCAGUCAGCGCGUAGAGUGGAAGGGACGAGGUUCAGUUCCCGCCUCUCGCUUUCCCGUUUCGGACAGCCGCACACGUUGGGGGGGGACCGGGCACCACCAAGCUCCUACCUUCCUUCCUUCCUCCCCGCACACCUCAGCCUCCUCCAUCCAACAUCCAUCCAUCCAUCCAUCCCCGGGAUGAGCAGCACCGUGGCUAGCCCGAUGUCAACGGCUGCUUCUUCAAGCAGUGGAAGAGGGAUGGGAAAAUCAACAAGCUUUACACCUGAAUUGCAAAGUAUGAUAUGUGUGCUCCUUAGUUGAAAAUGGAAAAAACCUCUUGCCUGAUGUCGUAGAUCUGUGAGGUGGCUGUGGAGAAGCAACUAAGAAAAACUCAAAAUCCUUGUAGUGACACUGCUGUGCCAUAGCAUAGGCAGCAGCCAGAUGCCUCACGUUGACAUGGGAAGUGAAAAGCAUCAUCCCUGCACUGAUCACUUCUUCCCCUCAUGUGUUGGAUGCGACCUGCUGGCGUGAGUUGGGUCUCUUUGAGAUAAUGGACUUUGCUACUGACAAGUCUAGUUUGCAGUUGAUAAACGUUGGCCUUGAUUACUUUGUGGUAUGAUGUCGAAGCUGACUGACCUCAGUGAGCCAGGUAUAAAGGUAAGUAGCAGAGCUACUGUUCCCUCAUGCCAGGUUCCUCAGGAGGUUCCCUUAUGCUGGGCUCAGUUCUCCUCAGGAAAAAGAUUUCAGAGUGUUGGCUUUCAUAUGCAUUAGGUGCCUUGGAGUGCAGAGCACAUGCAGCCCCUGAUUCUACCUGAAACAGGUAAAUGAUCAUAGCAGCUAAGAAGUUAGCUGAGUAGAUGAUAUAGAU
Molecule: long non-coding RNA, 893 nt
Organism: Centrocercus urophasianus (Greater sage-grouse)
Lineage: Eukaryota; Metazoa; Chordata; Aves; Galliformes; Phasianidae
Exons: 4
Source: RefSeq, a predicted model, not a curated record